RNAcentral lists this ribosomal RNA (497 nucleotides) under uncultured bacterium. RNAcentral's name for it is "partial 16S ribosomal RNA". It matches the Rfam family "Bacterial small subunit ribosomal RNA", at positions 28 to 507 of the family's 1533-position model. The record is from RNAcentral.
GAUGAACGCUGGCGGCGUGCCUAAUACAUGCAAGUCGAGCGAACAGAUAAGGAGCUUGCUCCUCUGACGUUAGCGGCGGACGGGUGAGUAACACGUGGGUAACCUACCUAUAAGACUGGGAUAACUUCGGGAAACCGGAGCUAAUACCGGAUAAUAUUUCGAACCGCAUGGUUCGAUAGUGAAAGAUGGUUUUGCUAUCACUUAUAGAUGGACCCGCGCCGUAUUAGCUAGUUGGUAAGGUAACGGCUUACCAAGGCGACGAUACGUAGCCGACCUGAGAGGGUGAUCGGCCACACUGGAACUGAGACACGGUCCAGACUCCUACGGGAGGCAGCAGUAGGGAAUCUUCCGCAAUGGGCGAAAGCCUGACGGAGCAACGCCGCGUGAGUGAUGAAGGUCUUCGGAUCGUAAAACUCUGUUAUUAGGGAAGGACAUACGUGUAAGUAACUGUGCACGUCUUGACGGUACCUAAUCAGAAAGCCACGGCUAACUACGUG